CCUACGGGGGGCAGCAGUGGGGAAUAUUGGACAAUGGGGGGAACCCUGAUCCAGCCAUGCCGCGUGUGUGAAGAAGGCCCUCGGGUUGUAAAGCACUUUCAGUGAGGAAGAACGCCUGGUGGUUAAUACCCAUCAGGAAAGACAUCACUCACAGAAGAAGCACCGGCUAACUCCGUGCCAGCAGCCGCGGUAAUACGGAGGGUGCGAGCGUUAAUCAGAAUUACUGGGCGUAAAGCGCGCGUAGGUGGCUUGAUAAGCCGGUUGUGAAAGCCCCGGGCUCAACCUGGGAACGGCAUCCGGAACUGUCAAGCUAGAGUGCAGGAGAGGAAGGUAGAAUUCCCGGUGUAGCGGUGAAAUGCGUAGAGAUCGGGAGGAAUACCAGUGGCGAAGGCGGCCUUCUGGACUGACACUGACACUGAGGUGCGAAAGCGUGGGUAGCAAACAGGAUUAGAUACCCCAGUAGUC
This 465-nucleotide ribosomal RNA is filed under the name Vreelandella stevensii. RNAcentral describes it as "partial 16S ribosomal RNA". It matches the Rfam family "Bacterial small subunit ribosomal RNA", at positions 338 to 795 of the family's 1533-position model. The record is from RNAcentral. Lineage: Bacteria; Pseudomonadati; Pseudomonadota; Gammaproteobacteria; Oceanospirillales; Halomonadaceae.